UCACCUAUUUGAACAACUGUAGUGGACCCACCACACCAUUUGUCAUGGUCAUCAAUUAAGCCAGCAAGUUUGAAGGCUUGUUUGGUUUUUUGGAAAUCACCAUGUAAGUCACCUAUUGCAAUUAAACGAUUAGGAGAAGGUAAUAUAGUUUGGUUUGGUGAUGAAGUGAUUGUUGGCUGUGGGGGUAAAAAGAGGCCUCCACUAAACGAUUAGGAGAAGGGAAUAUAGUUUGGUUUGGUGAUGAAGUGAUUGUUGGCUGUGGGGGUAAAAAGAGGCCUCCACUGACAGAGAAAUCGAUGAAUGUGUCAACGAAAGAGGAGAAGAUGGUUGGGACAUUUUGGCAUGUUAGAUUGGAUU
Molecule: long non-coding RNA, 357 nt
Filed under: Nicotiana benthamiana
Lineage: Eukaryota; Viridiplantae; Streptophyta; Magnoliopsida; Solanales; Solanaceae
Description: long non-coding RNA (NBEN_LNC036849)
Source: RNAcentral